GGCCCCAUAGCACAAUUGGAUAGGGCAGUCGCCUCCUAAGCGAUCGAUCUCAGUUCGAACCUGAGUGGGGUCA
The sequence is a transfer RNA, 73 nucleotides long. It matches the Rfam family "tRNA". From Rfam's summary of the family: Transfer RNA (tRNA) molecules are approximately 80 nucleotides in length. Their secondary structure includes four short double-helical elements and three loops (D, anti-codon, and T loops). The record is from Rfam.